RNAcentral lists this ribosomal RNA (1458 nucleotides) under Acinetobacter baumannii OIFC189. Its description in RNAcentral is "bacterial SSU rRNA". It matches the Rfam family "Bacterial small subunit ribosomal RNA". The record is from RNAcentral. Lineage: Bacteria; Pseudomonadati; Pseudomonadota; Gammaproteobacteria; Moraxellales; Moraxellaceae.
AUUGAACGCUGGCGGCAGGCUUAACACAUGCAAGUCGAGCGGGGGAAGGUAGCUUGCUACUGGACCUAGCGGCGGACGGGUGAGUAAUGCUUAGGAAUCUGCCUAUUAGUGGGGGACAACAUCUCGAAAGGGAUGCUAAUACCGCAUACGUCCUACGGGAGAAAGCAGGGGAUCUUCGGACCUUGCGCUAAUAGAUGAGCCUAAGUCGGAUUAGCUAGUUGGUGGGGUAAAGGCCUACCAAGGCGACGAUCUGUAGCGGGUCUGAGAGGAUGAUCCGCCACACUGGGACUGAGACACGGCCCAGACUCCUACAGGAGGCAGCAGUGGGGAAUAUUGGACAAUGGGGGGAACCCUGAUCCAGCCAUGCCGCGUGUGUGAAGAAGGCCUUAUGGUUGUAAAGCACUUUAAGCGAGGAGGAGGCUACUUUAGUUAAUACCUAGAGAUAGUGGACGUUACUCGCAGAAUAAGCACCGGCUAACUCUGUGCCAGCAGCCGCGGUAAUACAGAGGGUGCGAGCGUUAAUCGGAUUUACUGGGCGUAAAGCGUGCGUAGGCGGCUUAUUAAGUCGGAUGUGAAAUCCCCGAGCUUAACUUGGGAAUUGCAUUCGAUACUGGUGAGCUAGAGUAUGGGAGAGGAUGGUAGAAUUCCAGGUGUAGCGGUGAAAUGCGUAGAGAUCUGGAGGAAUACCGAUGGCGAAGGCAGCCAUCUGGCCUAAUACUGACGCUGAGGUACGAAAGCAUGGGGAGCAAACAGGAUUAGAUACCCUGGUAGUCCAUGCGUAAACGAUGUCUACUAGCCGUUGGGGCCUUUGAGGCUUUAGUGGCGCAGCUAACGCGAUAAGUAGACCGCCUGGGGAGUACGGUCGCAAGACUAAAACUCAAAUGAAUUGACGGGGGCCCGCACAAGCGGUGGAGCAUGUGGUUUAAUUCGAUGCAACGCGAAGAACCUUACCUGGCCUUGACAUACUAGAAACUUUCCAGAGAUGGAUUGGUGCCUUCGGGAAUCUAGAUACAGGUGCUGCAUGGCUGUCGUCAGCUCGCGUCGUGAGAUGUUGGGUUAAGUCCCGCAACGAGCGCAACCCUUUUCCUUACUUGCCAGCAUUUCGGAUGGGAACUUUAAGGAUACUGCCAGUGACAAACUGGAGGAAGGCGGGGACGACGUCAAGUCAUCAUGGCCCUUACGGCCAGGGCUACACACGUGCUACAAUGGUCGGUACAAAGGGUUGCUACACAGCGAUGUGAUGCUAAUCUCAAAAAGCCGAUCGUAGUCCGGAUUGGAGUCUGCAACUCGACUCCAUGAAGUCGGAAUCGCUAGUAAUCGCGGAUCAGAAUGCCGCGGUGAAUACGUUCCCGGGCCUUGUACACACCGCCCGUCACACCAUGGGAGUUUGUUGCACCAGAAGUAGCUAGCCUAACUGCAAAGAGGGCGGUUACCACGGUGUGGCCGAUGACUGGGGUG